GUGAGCUCCAGGUGCUUCUCCACCAGCACAGGUGAGCUCCUAAAUCCCAAAUACCUGCACCUACGAACUCCAAACCUUCACCAAACCCAUCCAGGUGACCUCCCCCACCUGCCCAGGUGUGUCCCAGGUGCGCUCACCUGUAGAUGUGCACGUCGCGGGUCUGCCCCAUGUGGUGGCACCUGCCCAGAUACCCAAAUACCUGCACAGGUGAGCUCUUAAAUCCCCAAUACCUGCUCAGGUGAGUCCAGAACUCCCCAACACCUGCACAGGUGAGCUCCAAAAUCCCACAGAACCACACAGGUACCCCAAUACCUGCACAGGUGAGCUCCAGGUAUCACAGGUGAGGUCCUAAAUCCCACACAACCACACAGGUACCCAAAUACCUGCACAGGUGAGCUCCAGGUGCUACAGGUGAGCUCCUAAAUCCCCAAUACCUGCACAGGUGAGCUCCUAGUUCACAAAUACCUGCACAGGAGAGCUCCUAAACCCCACACAGCCACACAGGUACCCAAAUACCUGCACAGGUGAGCUCCAGGUGCUACAGGUGAGCUCCUAAAUCCCAAAUACCUGCACCUAUGAACCCCAAACCUUCACCAAACCCCUCAGGUGACCCCAGGUGUGUCCCAGGUGUCCCCCAGGUGUGUCCCAGCUGUGUCUCACCUGUAGAUGCGCACGUCGCGGGUCUGCCCGAUGCGGUGGCACCUGCCCAGGUACCCAAACACCUGCACAGGUGAGCUCCUAAAUCCCACAGAACCACACAGGUACCCAAAUACCUGCACAGGUGAGCUCCAG
Molecule: long non-coding RNA, 792 nt
Filed under: Zonotrichia albicollis (white-throated sparrow)
Lineage: Eukaryota; Metazoa; Chordata; Aves; Passeriformes; Passerellidae
Description: lncRNA (ENSZALG00000001112.1)
Source: RNAcentral